UACAGAGGUCUCAAGCGUUGUUCGGAUUCAUUGGGCGUAAAGGGCUCGUAGGCGGCUCAGUAAGUCGGGUGUGAAACCUCCAGGCUCAACCUGGAGACGCCACUCGAUACUGCUGUGGCUAGAGUCCGGUAGGGGAGCAUGGAAUUCCUGGUGUAGCGGUGAAAUGCGCAGAUAUCAGGAGGAACACCAGUGGCGAAGGCGGUGCUCUGGGCCGGAACUGACGCUGAUGAGCGAAAGCCAGGGGAGCAAACGGG
This 254-nucleotide ribosomal RNA is filed under the name uncultured bacterium. RNAcentral's name for it is "partial 16S ribosomal RNA". It matches the Rfam family "Bacterial small subunit ribosomal RNA", at positions 524 to 776 of the family's 1533-position model. The record is from RNAcentral.